Molecule: ribosomal RNA, 376 nt
Filed under: uncultured organism
Description: partial 16S ribosomal RNA
Rfam family: Bacterial small subunit ribosomal RNA
Source: RNAcentral
CGAGGGUGCGAGCGUUAAUCGGGAAUUACUGGGCGUAAAGGGUGCGUAGGUGGAUAAUUAAGUUGGGAUGUGAAAGGCCUGGGGCUCAACCUGGGGAGAGUCAUUCAAGACUGGUCAUCUAGAGUUUGAUAGAGGGUAGGGGAAUUUCCGGAGUAGCGGUGAAAUGCGUAGAUAUCGGAAGGAACACCAGUGGCGAAGGCGCCUACCUGGAUUGGAACUGACACUGAGGCACGAAAGCGUGGGUAGCGAACAGGAUUAGAUACCCUGGUAGUCCACGCUGUAAACGAUGAAAACUAGCUGUACGGUGACAUUAGAGCGCUGUGUGGCGCAGCAAACGCGCUAAGUUUUCCGCCUGGGGAGUACGGCCGCAAGGCUA